Long non-coding RNA from Eurytemora carolleeae, 592 nucleotides. RefSeq lists it as uncharacterized. NCBI's taxonomy places the organism in Eukaryota, Metazoa, Arthropoda, Copepoda, Calanoida, Temoridae. The record is from RefSeq and is a predicted model, not a curated record. The transcript has 3 exons.
CCCUGAACUCUAGUUGUACAUUUCCAAGGAAAGAAGCUGAAAUGCAGAACCAGUUUUGCCGACAUGUAGUUUUAUUCUCUGCUCAUGCGCAGAAUAUCAUGUGUUUAGUUAGUAUACUGUAUUUUUGUGAUACACAGACAUAUUUGUCGUUUAUAUGUAUAUGAUUAUCGUGCAAGUGUCGGAGGACUAAUGUGAUUGAAGCACCAAGCCUUAAUAAAACUUGAAGAUCAUCCUGUUUUGAUUUAUCAUGAAGAGAUCUGAUAGAAUAGGAGCUUACAAUCAGGCCCAACGAAACACUACACGAUAGUUAGCUGGUUUAUCUCUAGGGCAACGUAGUCAGUUGCAAAACAAUGUGUACAGUGUGUGAUGUUGUGUAUAUCCUCUUGCAUUUACCUGAGAUGGUUCAACAGAAGAGUGUUCUACUGGAGCUAAAUCUAUUCCUUCACUAGCCAGGUUAAGCUGGGUCCAAUGCCAAUAUUCUCCAUCUGCCCCCGACCUAGUUCCUCUGGGGACUCUAUGCCUUUUCAUCAGAACACCCUGUAAUCAAAUAUAUAAAAACUUUCGGUUUGAAAUAUAUAAUUAAUUAAUUGAA